RNAcentral lists this long non-coding RNA (1182 nucleotides) under Brassica rapa (field mustard). Its description in RNAcentral is "long non-coding RNA (BRAP_LNC007087)". Lineage: Eukaryota; Viridiplantae; Streptophyta; Magnoliopsida; Brassicales; Brassicaceae. The record is from RNAcentral.
UGGGCAGAGAGUGGAGAGGAAUAUGAUGACAAUACCUGUCAAAAUGUCAAUAAUAAGAUAGAUUACUUGGAAUAAUACAUAAUAAUAAAAUAUGUAUACAUGCAUGAUGGGAAGUUGAAUCAAACUAAAAGAAAACCAUAAAAGGGAGCGUGAAGAAAGAAUGAAAGACUAAUAAUAAAGAAAUGAUGCAAGGAGUAGAAACUGAUAAAGCAUGUAUUCUUUUUAUUUGUAUAUACGAUGAAAGGUGGGUAUUAACCAAGCAGUGAUAAUCCAAUAGUAAAAGAUUUUGGAGUACGACGUAAACCAUUUAUCUUGGGUUUAUUUCUAUUUCUGGGAACAAUAUUGCAAUUUGGAUAUGAGUUUUGGUCCAUACAAUUACAUAGUAGUCCAACAACAAAUGAUCUAGUUACCCUCUGCAUUAAUAGGAAGACAUUUGAAACCAUAUUAGGCAUGACAAUAUUCUGUAGCACUAUUUUGUGAUUCUCUAAAAAUUGACUGGAUCAACUGACAUAAAAAAAAAAUGGAGCUAUUAAAUAUAUAUGAUGGUUGUAAGACACAUAAAUAUAGAAAAAAUUAUAAAAGUGGAAAAAAUAAAAACUCAAAAAGAAAGGAAAAAAUAAUGAAAAAGAGAAUUGGGCAUGCAUGAUGGUGUUUGGUAUCCGCAGAGCCCGAGGACCCAAACUACAGAUGAGGUGGGGACUCUUCUGAUCUUUCUCUGAACUCCAUGUGACCCCCACAAUUCAUCUACAUUAUACACAUAACACAUGCAUAUAUACUUUUUAUUCCGAUUGUCUUUUACGUUUUUGGUUAUAUAUAUCCUUUAUAUCUUUCACAUAGACCGUAUAGUUGUGUGUAAUCGUAGCUGCUGCUGGCAAUUUUUACCUUCGAACUAUUAUGUAAACUUUUUAGUCGAUAUCAACCGAAAUGAUACUGGAAACGUUAGUCGACAGUGGUCGAAAAAAAGAUGGACAAUAAAAGGAGAGUUGUUUGAAGCAACGAGUUUGAGUUUUGGCCGUGAGAAAGGAAAUAUAUUUAACAAAACUCCUAAUUAAUUAAACCCUUUAUCAAAAAAAGAAAAGAAAAAUCCUAAUUAAUUGCAAAACGUUUGACGAAAUGGUGACAUAAUAAUAAGUGACCGACUAUUCCUUUUGUUAAAUAUGUCUACUAUAAUGUAGUUUUUUC